UGGCUAUGUCGGAAGGAUUCAGCAAUUCUG
RNAcentral lists this non-coding RNA (30 nucleotides) under Mus musculus (house mouse). Lineage: Eukaryota; Metazoa; Chordata; Mammalia; Rodentia; Muridae. The record is from RNAcentral.